UACGCAAUCGCUGCCUAAUAAGCAGUAGAUGCUCUCCCCCCCGCGCAUGCCUGUAAGCCGGGAUUUUGGGAGAUCACCCCUAACAGGAUCGCAUGGCGGCUUUGUCCGGAGCCAAAAUGCUAAAACCAAUCGGACUCGCCCGACGAUAGCCUGCCAGCUGGCGCUCAUAGGGUUAACUAAAUAACUGGAUAAGCAUGUAGUACCGACGAUCUAGGUUUUUCGGACGGGGGUUCAAAUCCCCCCGGCUCCACCA
Molecule: transfer-messenger RNA, 253 nt
Filed under: Rheinheimera sp.
Lineage: Bacteria; Pseudomonadati; Pseudomonadota; Gammaproteobacteria; Chromatiales; Chromatiaceae
Description: partial transfer-messenger RNA
Rfam family: transfer-messenger RNA
About the family: Bacterial tmRNA, also known as 10Sa RNA or SsrA, is named for its dual tRNA and mRNA-like properties.
Source: RNAcentral